UGCGCGCCAGCGGGGCGGGCAGCCGCCGGCCGCGCUCGAAACGCGGCACAAGCAGCGCGCGCGCGACGUUCCAGCGCCAGCGCGUCUC
RNAcentral lists this transfer RNA (88 nucleotides) under candidate division BRC1 bacterium ADurb.BinA292. RNAcentral's name for it is "tRNA-Ser". The record is from RNAcentral. Lineage: Bacteria; Candidatus Sumerlaeota.